UAUAUAAUGUACAUGAGUAUCUAUUCCUCCAGCUGUCACUAUUAAUCCUUCUCCAGCUAAAGCUUCUGUGCUUGCUCCAACUAUAAAGUCUACAUUAUCCAUUCCUAAUGGAUUUCCGCCUUUACCAAUUGCAGCUAUUUUUCCAUCUCUAAUUCCGAUAUCAGCUUUAUAUAUUCCUGUAUAAUCUAGAAUAGUUACUCCUGUAAUUAUUAAGUCAACAACCUUAGGAUUGUUUUCUCUUGUUUCAAUAGGAUUUAAUCCCAUCCCAUCUC
RNAcentral lists this small RNA (272 nucleotides) under uncultured Clostridium sp. RNAcentral describes it as "5' ureB small RNA". It matches the Rfam family "5' ureB small RNA". The record is from RNAcentral. Lineage: Bacteria; Bacillati; Bacillota; Clostridia; Eubacteriales; Clostridiaceae.